This 273-nucleotide long non-coding RNA is filed under the name Cavia porcellus (domestic guinea pig). Its description in RNAcentral is "lncRNA (ENSCPOG00000039017.1)". Lineage: Eukaryota; Metazoa; Chordata; Mammalia; Rodentia; Caviidae. The record is from RNAcentral.
AUGGAAGUGGAGCAUUAUAGCUGUGUUCACUACAGUUAUGAAACAAACACCAGGGAUGGGCAGGUUGUUAAUCAACUUUUUGUUAAUUUUCAGUUGACAGAAGCCCAGGUACAAGCUCUGUGCAACAUGAUGAAAAAAUGGAAGAACCCUUAGACAGUUUGGCAGCACACACUUCAGAAACCGUCAUGAUGAAAACAAAAUGAUGAAAGCACAAGUUAACUUGAGCUGUGUUCAGAGAAGCUGCUGUUUUCAAGUCUGUUCUUACUGGCGUCA